CAAAGAAGCAGGCGCCAUGUCUCACCUGUGAACUCGGAGGACGACAAACAGUUCAUCCCCAGGUCUUUUCAGAAAAUCGACAUCAUGGCAACCAAAACAGCUGAGGAUUUCCAAAAACCAGAAGAUAGCAGCUAUGACAUCAAGGACUGUAAGUUGAACUAACAACA
Long non-coding RNA from Pundamilia nyererei, 167 nucleotides. RefSeq lists it as uncharacterized. The transcript is spliced from 3 exons. NCBI's taxonomy places the organism in Eukaryota, Metazoa, Chordata, Actinopteri, Cichliformes, Cichlidae. The record is from RefSeq and is a predicted model, not a curated record.